UAUAGAGUGCCUGAAAAAAGGAUAAUUUUGAUAGAAUUAACAAUAUGCACCGCCGGCAUCU
This 61-nucleotide transfer RNA is filed under the name Chlamisus sp. N29. RNAcentral describes it as "tRNA-Ile". The record is from RNAcentral. Lineage: Eukaryota; Metazoa; Arthropoda; Insecta; Coleoptera; Chrysomelidae.